Molecule: ribosomal RNA, 499 nt
Filed under: uncultured bacterium
Lineage: Bacteria
Description: partial 16S ribosomal RNA
Rfam family: Bacterial small subunit ribosomal RNA
Source: RNAcentral
GAUGAACGCUGGCGGCGUGCCUAAUACAUGCAAGUCGAGCGAACAGACGAGAGUGCUUGCACUCUCUGACGUUAGCGGCGGACGGGUGAGUAACACGUGGGUAACCUACCUAUAAGACUGGGAUAACUUCGGGAAACCGGAGCUAAUACCGGAUAAUAUUUAGCUUCGCAUGAAGCAAUAGUGAAAGACGGUUCUGCUGUCACUUAUAGAUGGACCCGCGGUGUAUUAGCUAGUUGGUGAGGUAACGGCUCACCAAGGCAACGAUACAUAGCCGACCUGAGAGGGGGAUCGGCCACACUGGGACUGAGACACGGCCCAGACUCCUACGGGAGGCAGCAGUAGGGAAUCUUCCGCAAUGGACGAAAGUCUGACGGAGCAAUGCCGCGUGAGUGAAGAAGGUUUUCGGAUCGUAAAACUCUGUUGUAAGGGAAGAACAAGUACGUUAGUAACUGAACGUACCUUGACGGUACCUUACCAGAAAGCCACGGCUAACUACGUG